This is a transfer RNA of Archaeoglobus sulfaticallidus PM70-1, 74 nucleotides long. It matches the Rfam family "tRNA". Rfam says of the family: Transfer RNA (tRNA) molecules are approximately 80 nucleotides in length. Their secondary structure includes four short double-helical elements and three loops (D, anti-codon, and T loops). Further hydrogen bonds mediate the characteristic L-shaped molecular structure. tRNAs have two regions of fundamental functional importance: the anti-codon, which is responsible for specific mRNA codon recognition, and the 3' end, to which the tRNAs corresponding amino acid is attached (by aminoacyl-tRNA synthetases). tRNAs cope with the degeneracy of the genetic code in two manners: having more than one tRNA (with a specific anti-codon) for a particular amino acid; and 'wobble' base-pairing, i.e. permitting non-standard base-pairing at the 3rd anti-codon position. Lineage: Archaea; Methanobacteriati; Methanobacteriota; Archaeoglobi; Archaeoglobales; Archaeoglobaceae. The record is from Rfam.
GCCCGGGUAGCUCAGCCUGGGAGAGCGUGCGGCUGAAGACCGCAUAGUCGCCGGUUCAAAUCCGGCUCCGGGCA